RNAcentral lists this ribosomal RNA (554 nucleotides) under Streptomyces sp. Its description in RNAcentral is "bacterial SSU rRNA". It matches the Rfam family "Bacterial small subunit ribosomal RNA", at positions 915 to 1459 of the family's 1533-position model. The record is from RNAcentral. Lineage: Bacteria; Bacillati; Actinomycetota; Actinomycetes; Kitasatosporales; Streptomycetaceae.
GGGGGCCCGCACAAGCGGCGGAGCAUGUGGCUUAAUUCGACGCAACGCGAAGAACCUUACCAAGGCUUGACAUACACCGGAAAGCAUCAGAGAUGGUGCCCCCCUUGUGGUCGGUGUACAGGUGGUGCAUGGCUGUCGUCAGCUCGUGUCGUGAGAUGUUGGGUUAAGUCCCGCAACGAGCGCAACCCUUGUCCCGUGUUGCCAGCAAGCCCUUCGGGGUGUUGGGGACUCACGGGAGACCGCCGGGGUCAACUCGGAGGAAGGUGGGGACGACGUCAAGUCAUCAUGCCCCUUAUGUCUUGGGCUGCACACGUGCUACAAUGGCCGGUACAAUGAGCUGCGAUACCGCAAGGUGGAGCGAAUCUCAAAAAGCCGGUCUCAGUUCGGAUUGGGGUCUGCAACUCGACCCCAUGAAGUCGGAGUCGCUAGUAAUCGCAGAUCAGCAUUGCUGCGGUGAAUACGUUCCCGGGCCUUGUACACACCGCCCGUCACGUCACGAAAGUCGGUAACACCCGAAGCCGGUGGCCCAACCCCUUGUGGGAGGGAGCUGUCGA